Chelonia mydas (Green sea turtle) is the source of this 3895-nucleotide long non-coding RNA. RefSeq lists it as uncharacterized. NCBI's taxonomy places the organism in Eukaryota, Metazoa, Chordata, Testudines, Cheloniidae. The record is from RefSeq and is a predicted model, not a curated record. The transcript is spliced from 2 exons.
UGAUUCAGAUCACUCCGUCCUGGAGCCAAGGGCAUCAUACCUAAAUAUAAGGGAAUACCUGCCAGUGAAGCUGCCUCAUGUCCUGAGAAUUGCAGUGAGAUGAUAUUCAACAAAAUGAGAGUGGAGGAUUCUGGAUCUUCAUUGGCUAAUGAGAAGGAAAGAAUAAACCUCCUGCCAAUCCCUGAACUCUCUGUAGAGUCCCAGGAGCUAAUUUAGGAGGCAACUGCUGUACAGUUCAGUUGGACAUCUGCACAAUCACAUAGUGUCAAAUCCUGAGGCCUUUACUCAGGGCUGUAUUCUGCCCCUAUGUGUUAAUACCAGGUAAGGGGCAGGAAACUCCCUGACGUUCCUCUUGCAGAGUUUCCUCCUGAAGUAUGUUCUGCUGUGAGAGGUGUAAUUUCUCUCGUCUGUGACCCUAGAAUUCGUCACGUUCUCUCAGGAUACUCUCUUCCUUAUCCAUUUGUGUUAGCCAUUUGCCUCUUCUCUCAAUAUCCCAUAAUAUUGGGAUUGCUUUUAUCCAAGGGCAAUACCAAUGUGCAGGGAAUAUUGGCAGUGUCUAUACAGAUUUGUCCAGUCUCCCAACUCAGAUUUUGUCUCCCCUCAAAAAAAUAAAAAUGGAUGGAGGAAGAAAGGUGUGAUCCCACAUAGACAGGAUUUUUGCAAAGGAUUUUGGUAGUUGUUUUCUAAGACCAUAUGAUUUCACUAGGCAAAAACCUCUGCUAUACCAGCAAGCGCCUGCCAUCUCACAUUCAGUUGUGCAUUUUCGAACCUGCAAUGAAACUUAGGCUGCUCCUCAUACCAACCUCAUAAUCUGAAAUUUUAAUACCGGUUGAUGAUUCUGCAAGUUACAAGGAUGGUUAUUCAGGAAUACUAAGUAGUCUGACUGGGAACACUGAUUGUCUAAAGCCUCGUUCUCAUUGGCCAAAUGGACCUUUUGAUGAUAAUACACCAACUUCAAGUGGGCAGAGCUGGGGUAAUGUCACUGGAAGAGCAAAACACCUUCUGCCUAUUGUUAAAUGGGAUGGAUAGGAGUGUACGUAGGAAGGCAGUUAAAGGAGAAGGAUAUUAGAAGCAGCUAGUGGGGAGCAGGGGAGGGUAGAGAGGAGGAUCAGUUUUUAAAAAUGUAUUUUUUUUUCAGUUUCCCUUGUCACCCCCUUCAAAGUGUUGAGCUCCCCUUUCAGAAGUAGUAUAAGACCUCCAGCCACUUGGUUUUGCAAAAGCUAAAACUAAACUGGAACUGUUCAGUACUGCGUUCUGACUAUAAAUAGCAACUCUAAAGAGGCUUUUGAGCUAGGGCAGGGGUGUGCAAACUUUUCCAGUUGUACCCCACUCCUCUUACCAUUAAUAGAAUCUGUCCGUGCGCACCCCUCACCCCAUUACUGCACAGCCAAGACUUCCUCAGCAGCCGAGCUUGGGCUGAAGGCAGAGCUGGAGGCGGAACUGAGGAUGGGGGAAAUAUCUGGGGCUAGAGGCGGAGCUGGUCUGGGAGUGGAGAGAGAAUGAGGGCAUUGCUGGGCAGGGGGCGGAGUGGAGGUGGGGAUGGGGGCAGAGCGUGAUUGGGAGUGGAGUUGGACCUAGAGGCAGAGCAGGACUGGAGGCUGAACAGGGUUAAGGGAGGAGCAGGGCUGGAAGCAUGGCGGUCCCUCCCUACCCCCUGUGGGGGCUAGCCCGAGUCACACUGCACGCCCCCUGAACUGUCCUCUGUGUCCCCCUACGGGGGCAUGCCCCACAGUUUGGGGACCACUGAGCUAGGGUUCCUGACAGUUCUUCUUACCCUAAUAGGGAAAGACACAUAGUUUAAUCAAACAUACUAAAAAAUAGGGAAAGCAUAUUUAACAUUUUAAGAAUUAUCAUAGUGGAAGGAUUCAUUAUGUUUAUAAUUGUUUUUUCAAAAAGUGAAAUGUAAAUUCUCAAGCCCUGUUCUGCCAUCAGUAAAUAAUGCCAGAUUGUGUAGACGUGCUCACAGAUUAGUGGAGCCAUACACCAGCACCUUUGUGAAUGCACACAGCCUGUGUGCUUUAUUGCUAUAUAUUCACUUAUUAUGACAAGUAGUAUUUCCAUUUUUUAAUCGCUUUACUAUCUAUAUUUAUGAUUCUUAAUGUUCUAUAGCUCAAUUACUCUUUGAUGUACUGGAACUCCAUUACACAGAUAAACUGUGCUGAGUACAAAUGAUCUACUGUACCAGGAGGGAUCUCUGCAUUUGCAUAUUAAUGACAUUCUAUAAAAGUGAUGGCUUAGACCAUUAGAAAAUAGAACUAUUAAAAUGUAUGGAACAGAGUUUAUAUGUCUAAUUGCACAUCAGAUGAAAGGGAAGUCCUUUUGAGCUAAACAAGGAAACCAGGAUAGCUUCUUAAAAGAACUAUUGCUAAUCUAAACUUACUAGAUGCUGGGAAACAAGAAAAAGAGAACAAUGCAUUUGUAGAUUGUCCCUGAUUUCAAAGCUUAGGAUAUGAAGGACAUCUUAAAUCAAAUGCUACUAUGUAUUUGUUAUAUUUCCCCAUCAAAGGCUAGAUGUACUAGAACUAAGCCAGUGUUUAGGCUGACUACAUAUUCUUGCUGGGGAAAUAUCACAGCUGACACCUCAGAAACACCACUUCAGGUUGCUCUGUAGUCAAGAAAGACUGUACUACCAUGUGGGCGAUGAGGUAAAAUCUAUGAUUUUAUCUGGAAUUUAAAUAUAAGUAUCCUGUGAGGACUGUUCCAUUACUUCUCCCUUUCAGGCAUUUCAUAUACAUGAUCCUUUUUAUUUCUGUUCCCUCCCUUCAGUAAACUACUAAUAAAUACUCCUGUUGUUUAUCUGAGGUUAAAUUAGGUUUUGACUGCUUGGACUGGGAAACAUUACUGACUUGCACUCCUGAAAGGAACUCAUCUGCUUGCUCCAAGUAGACAGAGAAGAGUGAACAUAAGAGCCUGUAAAUGGGUCAGUAACAUGUAAUCUGCUAGCAGUGUCAGCCAGGGGCCUAGGAGAGAUGGGUAAGAGAGUGAACUCAAGAAAACCAAAUGCCCUAAGGGUACAAAGUUCCACUGUAUAUAUUAAAGUGAACUAUCAGCCUCAGUCGCCUCUGGAAAAAGUAACAUCCAUUCAAAUAAACAUAAUGCUGGAAUAUGACAUAUAAUGCAGCUAAACUUCACUAGAAAAUUUAGCAAGUUUUUGUUGCAGCAAUUAGCAGUAAAAAGACUAACGUUAUUGACAUUGAAGUGAUCAUAAUUGAUAUUGAUUUUAAUACCUAUUGAAGUAAAUAAGUGGUGUUGCCUCACUAUCCUCAGACUCGGCAGGAGAGCUAUCCCUUAUCUAUUGUCACAGCUUUCAUAAACAGUUAAGGGGCUAGAAACUUUUUUCACCCCAGUUAGAAGCUUAUUCUCUGAAGACUUCUGUUAAAAUCCUCUGAAUGUUCAUGUUUUAAAUCUCAUUACUGCAGAUUUCUAUUCUUCUGGUAUUUCCAUUUAUAUUUUUAAUGUCAUGCUUUCUAAAUGCCAAAUCCUUGUCCCACUGGAAUCAGUGGAAGUUUUGCAGUUGAUUUUAAUACCAAAUUUUGGCCCUAUAUAUUAAACCCAGGGGAGUAGUAGAAAAGACGAAAGUGACCCAGUGUUAUGCUGUUAGGAAUAUUAGAUAUUUCUGGUUGGGAAAGGAAUCUACCUCUUGCAGCUGCAGCCUGCAGCCUGGGUGAUGGAAGGAGAGAGGAAGGUUUCUGCUUUCCAUUGUCGAUCUGAGCUCUUCUACUCCAAGUAGAAAUUGAAAACUAGCCUGUGUUGAGAAACAGUCACUUAAACAAAGUCCUGAUGUUAUCAGAAUCUCUUUUUAAAGACUCUGUGCCAUGUCCUUUGUUACAUUAAAAUAUUUUUGACUGAACAACUCUGGUAAAGGUGAAUGAUAAAGUAAAAGAAUAUUUUUGAA